Molecule: transfer RNA, 72 nt
Rfam family: tRNA
About the family: Transfer RNA (tRNA) molecules are approximately 80 nucleotides in length. Their secondary structure includes four short double-helical elements and three loops (D, anti-codon, and T loops).
Source: Rfam
GGUGGUAUAGCCAAGUGGUAAGGCAGAAGCCUGCAAAGCUUCCAUUCCCCAGUUCAAAUCUGGGUACCACCU